This is an RNA transcript of Manis pentadactyla (Chinese pangolin), 2468 nucleotides long. It is a transcript of the gene named Putative CENPB DNA-binding domain-containing protein 1, with no coding region annotated. The record is from RefSeq and is a predicted model, not a curated record. NCBI's taxonomy places the organism in Eukaryota, Metazoa, Chordata, Mammalia, Pholidota, Manidae. The transcript is spliced from 2 exons.
UCCGGGCCUGAACUGUCUCAGCCAUCCGUCCCUUGCAAACCUGGCUCGGUAUGUGUGUAACCCGUUUCUUCCCUUCACGGAUGCUUGUUUGUUCUCUGGGUCGCAGAAACACAUGCCAGUCUGGAGGAUGUUCCUGCGGAUGUGCGGUCCGGGAAUUUGAACGCUGCCCUCCCUGUAGUCGUGAAGGCGCCAGUCUGGUUCCAGGCAGUGUUGCUGGGCAGCUCUGCGGUGACUCCUCUCGUUUCGGGGAUGUCCGCUGCGUGCCUCGCAGCACCGGUGUUCCUUUCCCAAGUUCUGCGAGGGAGCAUAGAGUAGCCACAGGCUUUCUUGCAUCUGAGGCCGCCCGAUUUUAUUACGUUCUGGCGGCAAAGAUGCCUGGGAAAAGGCCCUCGAGUGCCAAAAUGGAAUGGAAAAUAAUUACCCCCGACAUAAAAUUGGAAGUAUUAAGACGAUUUGAAGUGGGUGAAAAGCUCGGCCAGAUCGCGAAAGCUUUAGGCCUCACUGUCUCCACAGUGACCACGAUACGAGAUGAUAAAGAAAAAAACGAGUUCACAAAUAGCUACUCCUUUGAGAGCCUCUCGGUUGACUCGCCAUCGGAGUGCAGUCAUGGAGACCAUAGAACGAUUGUUGCGUGUGUGGCUUGAAGAUCAGAGCCAGCGAAACGUGCCCCUGAGUGUAACCAUUAUUCAGAAGGAUAAGAGUCUGAUGCCUUACAGCGUGAACAAGGUGAAAGCUCUCAAACAGAAAAAUUCAGGGCAAGUAAAGAGUGGUUUGUGAUUUUCAAGGAGUGCCAUUGUUUGCCCCACAUCAAGAUGAACAGCAUGGCUCCUGGCAACAAGGAUACAUAUCCUGAAGUACUGAAAAGCAUCAUCGAAGGUGAGUACAGCUCCCAGCAAGUUUUUGGUGUAGAUGAGACAGGACUUUAUGGGAAGAGAAUGCCUGAAGGAACGUUUAUUUCUGUGGAAGAAAAAACUGAGCCAGGGUUUAAAUCAUCCAAAGAUCGCUUGAUGCUGCUUCUUGGUGGCAAUGCAGCUGGGGACUUUAAGUUGAAGCCUUUAUUGGUGUACCACUCAGAAAACUUCAAAGCUCUGAAGCAGUACUCCAAGCCCAAUUUGCCUGUGAUUUGGUGCUCAAUCAAAAAGGCCUAGGCAACCAAAAGCAUCUUUCAUGAAUGGUUCACAUAUUUUUUUUACCCUCCAUUGAAAAAUACUGUGCCCAAAAUAAUCUCACCAACAAAGCAUUGCUCAUCCUAGACAGUGCACCAUGCCACCCUAUAAAUUUGAAUGAUCUGUCUGAUAGUGUAACAGUGGAAUAUCUUCAUGACAGUACAGCUGACUUGAUCCAGCCCAUGGGUCAGGGCAUAGUCUCUACCUUCAAAGCCCUUUACCUGUAAAGGAGUUUUGAGCACAUCCUAGAAGCAAUAAAUGGAGAGGAUACAGCUAUUAUUAGGGAGUUUUGGAGAAACUACAUCAUGGUUGCUGUAGAUAACAUUGCAGUAGCUUGGGAGCAGCUCAGACCAGCAACAAUGAAUAAUGUGUUGAAGAUUUGGCCUGAGUGUGUUUAGUUCCAGAGUGUUUCCCAAACAUAACAUCAUACAGCUUCAACAAAACAUUGUGACCCUUGCCAAGAAUGUGGCUUUGGAAGAGGUUGUAGAAGCUGAUGUGGACCAGUUGCUGCAGUCUCAUGAGGAAGAUCUCUCAAAUGAGGAGCUGGUGCAUCUGGAACAGGAGCCAGCAGGAGAGGGGGAAAGUGAAAAUGCUCCAGCUGCUCUUCAUCAGCUAACCACAGGAGAACUGUCAGCAGCCUUCACACAUUUUGAGGCUGGCUUGCAGGUCCUUACCAGUAGUAUCUGUAACAAUGAGUGGAAACUGAAAGUUUCAAGAGCAAUCAGUGAUGCUAUAAACUGCUACAGGGAAUUGUACAAUGAGAAAAAGAGGCACUCAAAGCACCUGUUGUAGGUCAUUUUUCAACGUGUGUAAUCCAAAGUGGAAGAAAAGUGAGAAGCACCAAGAUGGCCUCAACCGAUGAAGCCCCGCCAAGGCUCUCCACUGCCGGAUGUUCAAAGUCCCUGGGAGCCCUUUUUCAGCUCCUGAAAACACUGCAGUCUUAAAGGUGAAAUGGGUGUCUUGUCAUUUUAAUGGACACUUUUGGACACCACCACCCCACUCCCCACCCAAGGGUGAGGGCUGGAGGUUGAAUCAAGCAAUGGCCAAUAUAGUCAAUCAUGACUAUGCAGCAAAGCCCUCACAAAAACUCCCCAGAAGAGCUUCUCGCCCUCUGGGAUCCUGCUUCUCUGUAGGAAAGAGCUUCCAUGCUUGGGAACCAGAACGCCUCCACAUGCCACAGAGCCAGGAUCCAAGUCCCACGAGGAUAGAAGCUCCUUUAUUUGGGACCUUGCCUUUGCAUCUCUUCAUCUGACUGUUAAGUUGUAUCCUUUUCAGUAUCCUUUAUUAAACUGGUAAACGUAA